CAGUCGCCACGGGAAUACGGAGGGUGCAAGCGUUAUCCGGAUUUAUUGGGUUUAAAGGGUCCGUAGGCGGACUUAUAAGUCAGUGGUGAAAGCCUGUCGCUUAACGAUAGAACUGCCAUUGAUACUGUAAGUCUUGAGUAUAUUUGAGGUAGCUGGAAUAAGUAGUGUAGCGGUGAAAUGCAUAGAUAUUACUUAGAACACCAAUUGCGAAGGCAGGUUACCAAGAUAUAACUGACGCUGAGGGACGAAAGCGUGGGUAGCGAACAGGAUUAGAGACCCGAGUAGUCCCUGUCUCUUAUAC
Molecule: ribosomal RNA, 301 nt
Filed under: uncultured bacterium
Lineage: Bacteria
Description: partial 16S ribosomal RNA
Rfam family: Bacterial small subunit ribosomal RNA
Source: RNAcentral